This 87-nucleotide transfer RNA is filed under the name Euryarchaeota archaeon ADurb.BinA087. RNAcentral's name for it is "tRNA-Ser". It matches the Rfam family "tRNA". Rfam says of the family: Transfer RNA (tRNA) molecules are approximately 80 nucleotides in length. Their secondary structure includes four short double-helical elements and three loops (D, anti-codon, and T loops). Further hydrogen bonds mediate the characteristic L-shaped molecular structure. tRNAs have two regions of fundamental functional importance: the anti-codon, which is responsible for specific mRNA codon recognition, and the 3' end, to which the tRNAs corresponding amino acid is attached (by aminoacyl-tRNA synthetases). tRNAs cope with the degeneracy of the genetic code in two manners: having more than one tRNA (with a specific anti-codon) for a particular amino acid; and 'wobble' base-pairing, i.e. permitting non-standard base-pairing at the 3rd anti-codon position. The record is from RNAcentral. Lineage: Archaea; Methanobacteriati; Methanobacteriota.
UGCCGAGGUAGUCUAGCCCGGAAAGGCGAUGGUCUCGAAAACCAUUGGCGCCCUGCGCCUCGGGAGUUCAAAUCUCCCCCUCGGCGU